CACAGAGGAGGCCUGGCAGGUGCUUAGGGGCAGCCAGUACAGUGUGAGGAGUGGACAGCAAGUCAGGCUGGCAAUGAAGGGACAUCUCUCCACUCUGGUGCUGUGGCUUCUUCUCCUCACAAUUCAGGACAUAGAAUGUGCUGAUGAGCUGAAGCUGGUGGAUGGGAGGCAGCCCCUGUGCCGGGAGAGUGGAGGUUAAACACCAGGAUCAGUGGGGGACGGUGUGUGAUGAUGAAUGGGACAUGGCAGAUGCUGGGGUUGUCUGUAAGCAGCUGGGAUGUGGAGCUGCUGUCAGUGCCCCUGGCGAAGCUCAUUUUGGAGCAGGAUCUGGACCAAUUUGGCUGGAUGAAGUUGCCUGUGAUGGUACCGAGUCUGCUCUCUGGAACUGUGGGAACGAGGUAUGGGGUCAGAGUGACUGCAGUCAUGGAGAGGAUGCUGGAGUGACUUGUUCAGGACACAUUGAGCUCCAGCUGGUUGGAGGUGACAGUGCCUGCUCAGGACGUGUGGAAGUAAGGCAUGGAGACACCUGGGCUACAAUCUGUGAUGCACACUUUGAUCUCAAAGCUGCCAGUGUUAUCUGUAAUGGACUACAGUGUGGAACAGCUCUAUCUAUCCCAGGAGGAGUUCACUUCGGAG
Chrysemys picta bellii (western painted turtle) is the source of this 636-nucleotide non-coding RNA. The record is from RefSeq and is a predicted model, not a curated record. Lineage: Eukaryota; Metazoa; Chordata; Testudines; Emydidae.